This 52-nucleotide ribosomal RNA is filed under the name uncultured bacterium. RNAcentral describes it as "partial 16S ribosomal RNA". The record is from RNAcentral.
AAACGGGACGGACGGGAGCGGCCCCGAACGGUAGUGAUUCAUGAUUGGGGUG